Molecule: ribosomal RNA, 466 nt
Filed under: uncultured bacterium
Lineage: Bacteria
Description: partial 16S ribosomal RNA
Rfam family: Bacterial small subunit ribosomal RNA
Source: RNAcentral
GACGAACGCUGGCGGCGUGCUUAACACAUGCAAGUCGAACGGAAAGGCCCUGCUUGCAGGGUGCUCGAGUGGCGAACGGGUGAGUAACACGUGGGUGAUCUGCCCCUUACUUUGGGAUAAGCCUGGGAAACUGGGUCUAAUACUGGAUAGGACCAUGCUGUAGGUGGUGUGGUGGAAAGAUUAGUUUCGGUAAGGGAUGAGCUCGCGGCCUAUCAGCUUGUUGGUGGGGUAAUGGCCUACCAAGGCGUCGACGGGUAGCCGGCCUGAGAGGGUGGGCGGCGACAGGGGGACGGAGAUACGGCGCAGACGCCUAGGGGAGGCAGAAGGGGGGAGGAGUGCACGAUGGGGGGCAGGCUGAUGCUGCGACGCCGGGGGCGGGAUGACGGCCGGCGGGUGGUAAAGAGCUUGCGCCUGUGACGAAGGGGGAGGGACGGUAAUGGGUAAAGAAGCACCGGCUAACUACGUG